UAGGGAAUCUUCCACAAUGGGCGCAAGCCUGAUGGAGCAACACCGCGUGAGUGAAGAAGGGUUUCGGCUCGUAAAGCUCUGUUGUUAAAGAAGAACACGUAUGAGAGUAACUGUUCAUACGUUGACGGUAUUUAACCAGAAAGUCACUGCUAACUACGUGCCCG
RNAcentral lists this ribosomal RNA (164 nucleotides) under uncultured bacterium. RNAcentral describes it as "partial 16S rRNA". It matches the Rfam family "Bacterial small subunit ribosomal RNA", at positions 355 to 511 of the family's 1533-position model. The record is from RNAcentral.